Molecule: ribosomal RNA, 595 nt
Filed under: Trachypenaeus curvirostris
Lineage: Eukaryota; Metazoa; Arthropoda; Malacostraca; Decapoda; Penaeidae
Description: partial 28S ribosomal RNA
Rfam family: Eukaryotic large subunit ribosomal RNA
Source: RNAcentral
CGAAGUUUCCCUCAGGAUAGCUGGCGCUCGGUCCUCCGUCGCAGACGGAGGGAGGCGACUCUGUCGCCCUUUUCAUAGUUUCAUCUGGUAAAGCGAAUGACUAGGGGUGUUUGGGGACGAAAUGUCCUCAGCCCAUUCUCAAACUUUAAAUGGGUGAGAUGUUCUCCGGGCUUUCUUGAUUGAAGCCCCGGAGUUGAAUUGAUGAGCUGCUUAGUGGGCCACUCUUGGUAAGCAGGACUGGCGCUGUGGGAUGAACCAAAAGCCUGAGUUAAGGGGCCUAAGUGGAUGCUAAUUCCGAUCCCGUGGAAGGGAGUUGCUUGCUAUAGACAGCAGGACGGUGGCCAUGGAAGUUGGAAUCCGCUAAGGAGUGUGUAACUACUCACCUGCCGAAGCAAGUAACCCCGAAAAUGGCAUGGCGCUAAAGCAUCCCCCCGAUACUCGGCCGUCGGGCGCAAUAAGGUUGCAGUGCUCUGUGAGCACGAGGAGGCCUCGAAGCCCCGACGAGUAGGAGGGCGCGACGGUGUGCAGAGAAGGACGUUAUAGGCGAGAGCCCGUCCGGAGCCGCCGUCGAUGCAGAUCUCGGUGGUAGUAGCAA